GUUGUUGCGGUUAAAAAGCUCGUAGUUGGAUUUCUGUCGGUGAGUUGCAGUCCGGCCACUGUGCUUGGUACUUGUAACGCCACCGGCAUCUUCCUGGGGACUGUGUCUGCUCUUCACUGAGUGGCUCAUAAUCCAGGACUUUUACUUUGAAGAAAUAGGAGUGUUUCAAGCAGGCAUGCGCCGUGAACACGUUAGCAUGGAAUAAUAGCAUCGGACCUCGCUCCAAAGCUGUUGGUUUCUUGGACCGAGGUAAAGGUGAAUAGGGAUUGUUGGGGGCAUUCGUAUUUAACUGUCAGAGGUGAAAUUCUUGGAUUUGUUGAAGACGGACUACUGCGAAAGCAUCUGCCAAAGAUGUUCUCAUUGAUCAAGAACGAAAGUUAGGUGAUCGAAGACGAUCAGAUACCGUCCUAGUCUUAACCAUAAACUAUGCCGACUGGAGAUCGGGGGUCGUUAACUUUGUGACGCCCUCUGCAUCUUGAGAGAAAUCAAAGUCUUUGGGUUCCGGGGGGAGUAUGGUCGCAAGGCUGAAACUUAAAGGAAUUGACGGAAGGGCACCACCAGGAGUGGAGCCUGCGGCUUAAUUUGACUCAACACGGGGAAACUUACCAGGUCCAGACAUAGUGAGGAUUGACAGACUGAUAGCUCUUUCGAGAUUCUAUGGGUGAUGGUGCAUGGCCGUUCUUAGUUGGUGGAGUGAUUUGUCUGGUUAAUUCCGUUAACGAACGAGACCUUAGCCUGCUAAAUAGGAUCCCCAACUUUCUAGUUGACGGAGGCCUUCUUAGAGGGACGUCGCGUGUCUAACGCGAGGAAGUGUGAGGCAAUAACAGGUCUGUGAUGCCCUUAGAUGUUCUGGGCUGCACGCGCGCUACACUGAUGCGUUCAACGAGUGUUUUUACCUGCUCCGGAAGGAGUGGGCAACCUUGUGAAAGCGCAUCG
This 936-nucleotide ribosomal RNA is filed under the name uncultured marine eukaryote. RNAcentral describes it as "SSU rRNA". It matches the Rfam family "Eukaryotic small subunit ribosomal RNA", at positions 609 to 1567 of the family's 1831-position model. The record is from RNAcentral.